CAACGCUUUGGCCCCAAACAGGGCUUGCCCUAGUAACGGCGAGUGAAGCGGCAACAGCUCAAAUUUGAAAUCUGGCGCAAGCCCGAGUUGUAAUUUGUAGAGGAUGCUUCGGGGCAGCGGCCGGUCUAAGUUCCUUGGAACAGGACGUCAUAGAGGGUGAGAAUCCCGUAUGCGACCGGCUGGCACCCCACACGUAGCUCCUUCGACGAGUCGAGUUGUUUGGGAAUGCAGCUCUAAAUGGGAGGUAAAUUUCUUCUAAAGCUAAAUACCGGCCAGAGACCGAUAGCGCACAAGUAGAGUGAUCGAAAGAUGAAAAGCACUUUGGAAAGAGAGUUAAAAAGCACGUGAAAUUGUUAAAAGGGAAGCGCUUGCAACCAGACUUGUCGACGGUGUUCCGCCGGUCUUCUGACCGGUUCACUCGUCGUCGGCAGGCCAGCAUCGUCUGGGGCCGCCGGAUAAAGGCUUGGGGAAUGUGGCUCCUCCGGGAGUGUUAUAGCCCCUCGCACAAUACGGCGCGCCUCGGGCGAGGUCCGCACUUCGGUAAGGAUGCUGGCGUAAUGGUCGUAAGCGGCCCGUCUUGAAACACGGACCCU
Molecule: ribosomal RNA, 593 nt
Filed under: Vermiconidia calcicola
Lineage: Eukaryota; Fungi; Ascomycota; Dothideomycetes; Mycosphaerellales; Extremaceae
Description: Vermiconia calcicola partial large subunit ribosomal RNA
Rfam family: Eukaryotic large subunit ribosomal RNA
Source: RNAcentral